This 253-nucleotide ribosomal RNA is filed under the name uncultured bacterium. RNAcentral describes it as "partial 16S ribosomal RNA". It matches the Rfam family "Bacterial small subunit ribosomal RNA", at positions 524 to 776 of the family's 1533-position model. The record is from RNAcentral.
UACGAAGGGGGCUAGCGUUGCUCGGAAUUACUGGGCGUAAAGGGCGCGCAGGCGGAUAUUUAAGUCGGGGGUGAAAGCCCAGGGCUCAACCCUGGAACAGCCUUCGAUACUGGAUAUCUUGAGUACGGGAGAGGUGUGUGGAACUCCGAGUGUAGAGGUGAAAUUCGUAGAUAUUCGGAAGAACACCAGUGGCGAAGGCGACACACUGGCCCGUUACUGACGCUGAGGAGCGAAAGCGUGGGGAGCGAACAGG